AAUUGCGUGAAGUGUAAUUUUAUUGAAGCUUUUAAUGUUGUAUUUCUUGGAUUUUCUUUUCUUGGUUUUGGCUAAAUAAAAAUUCUAAUUAAUGCGUACUGAGUUUUGAGUAUGGUAAAUCAGCUGAUAUCUUACUUUCAGAAGAAACUAAGCAUUCUGGGAAGUUGCUUCAGCGCUAUUGUAUUAACACCCCACCUAUUUUCAGUUGAGUUAUCACAAAUUUAAUGAGUCUCAACAAGAACAAAUAGUUAUCAAGAGAUAACAUGAUUGUGAAAUGUAGCCCUAAUAAGUGAUGCUGGGACACUAGGUAUCAAUGAUCCUGGAAUGGAACUGGUGAGACAUAUAUUAAUGCUGUGAUUUUGCAUUGUUAGCUUCAUGAAGUGUUGCUUUUAUACGUAUACUCAUAUAAGUAUGUAUAUGUCUGUAAAUGUGAGGCAUCUCAGCCUUAGUACGAGACUUCUGCUCCUUGCGCAGAAUGGAAUGCCCUUGAUUGCACUUGCGCAUUUAAAUAACAAGAAUUCAUUGGGCUGAUAAUAUCAUAGAUUCGGGUCUCAUAUAUGGUAUUUUGGAGUAUGGAUGUAGGCAAAGUUGUGUGUGGAUCAAAAUAUACCUGUUAUUCCCGUCCUCGGGUCAUCUUCUUUGAGUUUAUUAAUUAACGAGUUCACAUUUGGUAGUUCUUUUAUAACUCUGGUAUUCAAUUGCUUGAUUAUAUGUGGCUUUCUACCUAAACAUGCUGGAACGAGAAGAGAGAGGCUGAUAGUUUCUGCAAAUGAAGCAGCCACACGGGUCUUCAUUGUUCCUUAUCACAAGCUCUCUCAAUUUCUUGAAUAGGCUUCUUCAAUUUUUGGCAACUCUAUGUAAAUCUUGUCAACGACUGUGGUACCUUUUGUAACCAUUGUUGUAAAUAUAAGUUUGACAAUGAAACAGAUGGGCAUUUAAAA
Long non-coding RNA from Olea europaea var. sylvestris, 941 nucleotides. RefSeq lists it as uncharacterized. The record is from RefSeq and is a predicted model, not a curated record. Lineage: Eukaryota; Viridiplantae; Streptophyta; Magnoliopsida; Lamiales; Oleaceae. The transcript is spliced from 2 exons.